Molecule: ribosomal RNA, 253 nt
Filed under: uncultured bacterium
Lineage: Bacteria
Description: partial 16S ribosomal RNA
Rfam family: Bacterial small subunit ribosomal RNA
Source: RNAcentral
UACAGAGGGUGCAAGCGUUGUUCGGAAUUACUGGGCGUAAAGCGUGCGCAGGCGGCUUCUCAAGUCAGGGGUGAAAGCCCAGAGCUCAACUCUGGAAUUGCCUUUGAGACUGAGUGGCUUGAGUACGAGAGAGGUGAGUGGAAUUCCCAGUGUAGAGGUGAAAUUCGUAGAUAUUGGGAAGAACACCGGUGGCGAAGGCGGCUCACUGGCUCGUAACUGACGCUCAUGCACGACAGCGUGGGGAUCAAACAGG